RNAcentral lists this ribosomal RNA (467 nucleotides) under uncultured bacterium. RNAcentral describes it as "partial 16S ribosomal RNA". It matches the Rfam family "Bacterial small subunit ribosomal RNA", at positions 28 to 506 of the family's 1533-position model. The record is from RNAcentral.
GACGAACGCUGGCGGCGUGCUUAACACAUGCAAGUCGAACGGACAGGCCCUGCUUUUGUGGGGUGCUCGAGUGGCGAACGGGUGAGUAACACGUGAGUAACCUGCCCUUGACUUUGGGAUAACUUCAGGAAACUGGGGCUAUUACCGGAUAGGAGCUCCUGCUGCAUGGUGGGGGUUGGAAAGUUUCGGCGUUUGGGGAUGGUCUCGCGGCUUAUCGGCUUGUUGGUGGGGUAGUGGCUUACCAUGGCUUUGACGGGUAGCCGGCCUGAGAGUGUGACCGGCCACAUUGGGACUGAGAUACGGCCCAGACUCUUACGGGUGGGAGCAGUGGCGAAUAUUGCAUAGUGGGCGGAAUCCGGAUGCAGCAACGCCGCGUGCGGGAUGACGGCCUUCGGGUAGUAAACCGCUUUCGCCUGUGACGAAGCGUAAGUGACGGUAAUGGGUAAAGAAGCACCGGCUAACUACGU